GAGGGAUCUACUAUUUCUCUAAUGAAACCUCAAAAGAAUAUGGAUUACUCUAAGAAUGGGAGGCAGUCUCAUGUUUCAGGUGUGACUCAGCCAUCCCAUUGGACAGACACAUCAGAAAUAUAGAAAAAGCAAAAAGGUGAGAGGAAGGUCAAAUGAACUAGGAGAAUAAGAUGUUUUUAAAAAUCCAUUUAAAAAUUUAAGGAAACUUACAAGAAGUUAGAUCAGCAUAACAGGAGUCACCUCUUGGCAUUGAACCAUCAACUGAUUAUCCCAUGAUCUCAUCACAGUGUAGCAAAUUGAAUGUAUUUUAUAGACUAGAGGUCUUGGAAUUAUUUCAAGAAAGAAAAGCCACACAAGGUGAAUACCUUGUCACCAACUGGUCACCAGCAGAGUAGUCCGUGCCACAUUGAAAAACCAGGUCAUGAUGAGAAGGUCUCUCCAAAGGAAGUGGAGUGAGGAGCUUCUGAGAAGGGAAAGGACUAUUAUUCCAGUUCUGUCUCAAGGACUGCUCUGUAAACAUCGUGACCCGUCCAGCCAGUACCUCAAUAGUGUUGCUGCAAGAGCCAAAGACUCGGAAAAAGGCCUGAGUUUCAUGGAGCAAGAAGCGCACUUCCAAGAUCUCUGGUCUCGGCUUCAGCAAGUUUUCCUGGCUCAGGAGAUCAGCCAGGGAGUGGAGCUCAUAGAAGUCUGCUUCUCUUUGCAGCCUCUGAUAGUCUGAAAAGUCCGUGGGCAGAGAAAGCUGGAGUGUCCUCAAAAAAUCCAAGAUGUAAUUAAACAAAGUUCCAUCUCUGUCCACAAAGAAUUGUCCAUUCACCAGCCUGAAUUCAUGGUCAUUGCCAUUCAACAUCCGUGCUAACCUGGACUCUGGGAACCUCCGCAGGGUGGAAACCCAUGUUGUAAAUUUUGAGCCUCCCACAUUCAGAAUGGCCACUUCUUGAUUGCUCAUAUUGUCUCUCCACCAAUCAAGGUUAACACUGACCUAUGUCUUUCUAACCAGACUAUUCCUAAACUGCAACUGGGACUACAAGUAUCAUUCAGUAAUCUUACUGCAUGUUUGGGAUAAGGUGUGUAGCACCACUAGGGUUCCUAGGCAACAAGAAGCGUAAAUACAACUAAAGAUAGCUGUUUGCAGGUCCUAGUUGCUUGGGAACUUGGACUCUUGAAACAAAAAUAAAAAAUGAACAGCUUCCAAAGACUGUUGAAAAAUGGUUGACUGACUCCAAGUUUUGAAAAACCCUGAUAAAAACCAAGAACUAUCCCCAAAAGCAAGACAUUCAGUAUAAAUAUUUGAGCUUUACAGAACCACCACAAGAAGAUUUCUAUACCACUGUGGGUGACCCACUGCUAAAAGAAAUGUUAAAUAUACUUUAAGGCAACUCCACAAUCAUGCUCUGAAAUGAGAACCUUUCAGAGAAGUUGGAAGUGUAUUUCACUAAAUGUUUCUGAUCUGAAAGGAUUUGAUGAUUAAUAUGUUUGUAUGAAAUAUCCAUACAGAGAUAUGGUAAUGAUUUA
This is a non-coding RNA of Chrysemys picta bellii (western painted turtle), 1512 nucleotides long. Lineage: Eukaryota; Metazoa; Chordata; Testudines; Emydidae. The record is from RefSeq and is a predicted model, not a curated record.